AAUAUGGCUGCGAAUAAACGAAAAAAUAACUAGUCGAUCAGUACGAAAACAGAUUAAAAAAACUCGGUGCCAAAGUGUCCAAAAUGUAAAGGAAUUUUAAUCCUGAAAUGUUAUCAAAAAUACAAAUUUAAAAAACGUUUACUUAAAAUGGAUUUAAGGCUGCACCCUCCAGCGUGUUCAAAACAGGACACAUGAACUAUGUCGGAGCAUCUGCCACAUCGGAACCCCCCCUUUCCGGCCAUUACUCAGCAGUCUUAGAAGGGCUUAGUGAUGAAUCAUCGCCACCAUCGUUACCGAUUCACCGAUUCGGAGCAGGGACACCAAGAAGGCUUAAACUGGCGCCCAACUUCCACCGGCGACGGCGAUCCAGGUCUCGCACCUAUUUUAUCGACGCGAAGAAAGUGCCGUAAUCCGCCGGCAAUCAAUUAGAUACAAGCGCUCUAAGCACUCCCAAAGACAUCGCAGCCGUAUCUUAUCUUAUCGCCGCUUCUUCCGAUAAG
Drosophila gunungcola (fruit fly) is the source of this 500-nucleotide long non-coding RNA. RefSeq lists it as uncharacterized. NCBI's taxonomy places the organism in Eukaryota, Metazoa, Arthropoda, Insecta, Diptera, Drosophilidae. The record is from RefSeq and is a predicted model, not a curated record. The transcript is spliced from 3 exons.